UUUGCAGGCACCAGCUGCUGAGGAGAGCUAGGAGAGUCAGGACCCACCACUACAGGAGCUGACUGCUCCGAAGGGCCACAUACAGGCUGUAACCCCCAGGACUUCACCAAGGUGGGCUUCGUGUAUGUUUGGGGGAACAGCUGGCAAAGAUUGAGCUCUUCCUCUUUUUCACUAGCCUCCUGAGGGCAUUCAGAUUCCAGCUGCCGAAAGGAGUGACAGAAAUCAACAAAGAACCUAUGCCAGGACUUACAAGACAUCCCCAUCCUUAUAAGAUUUGUGCUGUUCCCCGCUGCAGUACAUGAUCUUCAUAUGGAUAAUUGGCUUCAAUUUGUUUUAACUGAUCAUUGAGAUUAAUUGGCUCAAUUGCUUAGGAGCAUUAUUUGUUUAAUUGGCUUAAUAAAACAUUGCCCUUUUUCAUCCCA
This is a long non-coding RNA of Rhineura floridana, 422 nucleotides long. RefSeq lists it as uncharacterized. The record is from RefSeq and is a predicted model, not a curated record. The transcript is spliced from 3 exons. Lineage: Eukaryota; Metazoa; Chordata; Lepidosauria; Squamata; Rhineuridae.